GGAUGUGAGGGCGAUCUGGCUGUGAUAUCUGUUACCCCAUUGAUCGCCAGGAUUGAUUAGGCUGAUCUGGCUGGGCUAGGCGGGUAUCAUCUUCCUCCCUCACUGCUCCAUGUACGUCCCUCCUGAAGCUCUGCACUCGGUCAAAGAGAACAACCUUCCCCACUAGAGGAGAACCAGUCUUUGGUCAAGGGUAUCCGAGUAGCUGCACUCCCCUGCUAGAACCUCCAAAUAAGCUCCCACUAAGUAAGUAUUGAAUUGGGGCAGAUGAAAGUUAUUAUAUAACCACAAAGUCCAGUUGCCUAUUUCUGU
RNAcentral lists this small nuclear RNA (309 nucleotides) under Microcebus murinus (gray mouse lemur). Its description in RNAcentral is "7SK RNA (ENSMICG00000030028.2)". It matches the Rfam family "7SK RNA". Rfam says of the family: 7SK was discovered as an abundant small nuclear RNA in the mid-70s but a possible function has only recently been suggested. Lineage: Eukaryota; Metazoa; Chordata; Mammalia; Primates; Cheirogaleidae. The record is from Rfam by way of RNAcentral.